CGGGCCCCUGCUCGACCACUACACGAAUCGGGUAAGUUAUAAUUUUCCAUCGUUGAAUGCAAUGCCAUACCACUUGACUUAAAUUGUCGACGGUUUGCAAUAAUAUCCCCUAGCCCUGAGCUAACCUUCUAUUUAGUGACCCUGAGCUAACCUUCUAUUUAGUGACUGUUAUUUAUCUAGCAUUCUAACAAACUACUAGCUAGCCAAGACCAAGAUGGAAGAACU
RNAcentral lists this long non-coding RNA (225 nucleotides) under Populus trichocarpa (black cottonwood). RNAcentral's name for it is "long non-coding RNA (PTRI_LNC004202)". Lineage: Eukaryota; Viridiplantae; Streptophyta; Magnoliopsida; Malpighiales; Salicaceae. The record is from RNAcentral.